GCCCGCGCGCCGCGCCAGCCCUGCGGCCCGGACGCCCCCGUGGGCAGGCGCCCCGGGAAGAGCCCGCGCCCCGAGAGCCGCGGCGUCGCCUCUCGGGGCGGGGGGGGGGGGGGGCGCGCGGGGGAAAGGGCCCCCCAGCGCGCGGCUCCCCGGGCGGCGCCCCACGCGCCACCGGGCCCCGCGUGGCCGGAGCGACUUUCGCUUUGCUCCCGGGGACGGGAGCGCGCAGCGCCCCCUGGGGACCGCGGGGUGGCUCGGGGCCGCCACCGGGUCGCUGUGCUAAGGCGCGGGGACGGCCGCCUGGUCCCGCGGUCCCCGCGGGUGGAGAAGCCGGGGUCUGAGUCCGGGGCGUGCGGGGCACGUCGGCCAGGCCACCUCAGUUUGGCCUUUGCCGCCGCUGAGGAGCGCCGAGGAGAAGGGGAAGCCUCAGAACUGGCGGGACAGGUGUGCCCCGCAUGGAACAGAAUGCCUGCGCGCCAGACUGGCGGGUUGCAAAAGACUGGACCCAACCUAACUAUCCGCCCUCGGGAGACGCUCCGCUCCGUAGGUUACAGCGUAUCCUGCAGGAGAGUAGCCCCUCUGCCUCCGCAGGCCCGUCUCUCAGAUACAAUGUGACAGCCAAGGAAGGCGGCGGUGGGGAGCCCAGGCUACACUGUAUCCCUGGAGAGCACGCAAGGCGCGAGGAGGAGCCAGGCCCAGAGACUCACCGAGACAGAGAUGCAGAGACACACAGAGAGAGCAUGGGGCGAGGCCACGCCAUCAGGGCGGGAAGGAAACAGAAUGGCCACUGAAAUACUCUUGCGGGCCGUUUAGACUUCUUGCUGUAUACAUACAGUAUCACAUUUCACAAAAGAAAUUUAAAUUGAACACAGCGGGCACAGAUUCUCAGAAAAAGAGCUUCCCGCCCGCCUGCUUGCCGGCAGGGGAGCGUCUCGGGAACACGCGUCCCCAUCCUUUGCCGCUGAGGACACGUGGGUGUGGGUGGGAGGGCCAUUUGCCACCGAACAAGCCGGGCCUUGAUUCCAGCUUUCUCAUUCCAAGUCCAAAGCCAUUUUGGUCCUGCCACCCCACAGCUCAGAGCCCUGCUACCCUCACUGUUGAGACCGUGCACGAGUGGGAGAGAGGGGCAGAGAGAGAGAGAGAGAAAGAGGGAGAGAAUCCCAAGCAGUCUCCAUGAUCAGUGCAGAGCCCCCUACAGGGCUCAGUCACCCGGCCCUGGGAUCAUGACCUGAGCAGAAAUCAAGAGUUAGACGCUCAACCCACUGAACCACCCAGGCGCCUCUGAAGAUUUCAUCUCAAGAGGAAACAACCCCAGUGUCCCUUGAUAGAUGAAUGGAUAAACACAGGCGGCCCGCCCGCACACCGGACGCCUUCCAGCCGCGAGGAGGAACGAAGCCCCGCGCGCGGCCGUGCGGACGCACCAUGCACACGGCGUGCCCAGGACGCAAGUCAGACACGGGCGAUGUACUGCGCGAUCCCACUUGCGUAAAACACCCAGAGGAGGCCAGUUCGUAGGCACAGAAACUAGACGAGAGGUUCCCGGGGGCCGAGGGAGGGAGGGAGCGGGCAGUGGGUAUUUAACGGGGACAGAGUUUCCGUCUGGGAAGAUGGGAAAGUUCAGGAAACAGUUGUGGCGAUUGCACAACACCGUGAAUGUACUCGCUGCCCCCGAUCCGUCCACUUAAAAGGGCUGCAGUGAGGGGCGCCUGGAUGGCUUGGUCGGUUGGGCGUCCGACUUCGGCUCAGGUCAUGAUCUCACGGUCCGUGAGUUCGAGCCCCGCGUCGGGCUCUGUGCUGACAGGUCAGAGCCUGGAGCCUGUUUCUCCUGUGUCUCCCUCUCUCUCUGCCCCUUCCCUGCUCAUGCUCUGUCUCUCUCUGUCUCAAAAAUAAAUAAACGUUUAAAAAAAAAAAAAGGGCUGCAGUGAGGAGUCUCGUCUCACGGGUGUUGACCACCAUCAACAACCAAAGAAACACAGGCAGGGGCAGGAUGCUUUCUGGGCAGCCCACCCCAAGUCCUCCACCCGGGAGCCUCCCCAGCAGCGCCAGCCACCUUCCCUCCUCCUUCUGAAUAUUGUUUUCCUGACUCCCGGCCAAGGACUUGAUGAACUUUGGGGGAGUUGUGAUUUCUUUUUGUUUCUCUGAGAACAUCCCCGUUCAGUGUCCCGCUUCCUGGAAACAGAGAACAGGGGCCGAUCCAGGGGAGGAGCGGCUCUUUGUCCUAGCUGGGGACGUGACUGGCCCAGAGUCAGCGGCGGCACCGAGUCGGGUCUGGACCUGGCUGCUGGCCCCCCCGGGCUGCGUCGGAAGGGUGGGAGUCGGGGCCCACGACGCACAAACGUGCCCACAGGUGCCUGUGGCCGGGGGCCCUUCGCGUGUUUCUACCGGGAAUCCAGUGGGGCCCGAAACCCACACCUGCUGGUGGAGAAGGUCACAGGAUGAGGAAUCGGCAUUUUCCACGUGAACCCAGCUUUUAGCGGUCUGUCAGCAGUUUCCCACCCGCCCGCCCUCCCCCCACCUCAGCAGUAAAGGCGACUGCAGCUGCAGGGGCCGGCGGGAGGGACUGAGAUGAGCGAGGAGCAGGUGGCCCGGACCCGAGCAGCGGACUCCCCAGACCCGCAGCAAUGAGUGGGACCAGUGUCCGGUGUCCCCGCGGCUGACAGGCCCACGGGGCAGGCAGGGGUGAGAGGCUCCAGGGAAGGGGCUGGGGGCUCUGGCCAGGCCUCCACAGCCGGCCCCACAUCGGUGCCUGCUGCCCUUCCCGCUCUGCCCACGAGGGCAGGAAGGAUGACGGUGCCCGGCAGCCACGGGGACAGGGUGAGGGAGAGAGGCUGGCACAGAGCAGCAGAGGCCGGUGGCUGCGUCGCAGAGGGCGCCUGACCUCGGGGAGCACGGUUCCCCCUGGGAAAUGGGGUCGUUUCCAGCAUCCAGUUUUUGGGGUGAGAGGGGGAGCUGUGGAAAAUCAAAACCUGCACAAAGCAGGUGAACGAGAGAAGAGGGAACAGGUCAAACGUGGACAGACCCCUUGUCUGGCGAGAACAAGAGGCCCCCACGGGGCCAUC
Felis catus (domestic cat) is the source of this 3059-nucleotide long non-coding RNA. RefSeq lists it as uncharacterized. The transcript has 2 exons. NCBI's taxonomy places the organism in Eukaryota, Metazoa, Chordata, Mammalia, Carnivora, Felidae. The record is from RefSeq and is a predicted model, not a curated record.